GGCGUGGUGUGGGACAGGCUGUCCGCCCGUCUCGGCGAGGCGGGACGGUCCGGGAUCGUCCCGAUCGCGAUG
Molecule: transfer RNA, 72 nt
Filed under: Mycobacterium tuberculosis
Lineage: Bacteria; Bacillati; Actinomycetota; Actinomycetes; Mycobacteriales; Mycobacteriaceae
Description: tRNA-Ala(ggc)
Source: RNAcentral